This 69-nucleotide transfer RNA is filed under the name Notacanthus arrontei. RNAcentral describes it as "tRNA-Val". It matches the Rfam family "tRNA". From Rfam's summary of the family: Transfer RNA (tRNA) molecules are approximately 80 nucleotides in length. The record is from RNAcentral. Lineage: Eukaryota; Metazoa; Chordata; Actinopteri; Notacanthiformes; Notacanthidae.
UGGAAUGUAGCUAAGAAAAAGCACCUCCCUUACACCGAGAAGACGCCCGUGAGAACCAGGCCAUUCCAA